Molecule: ribosomal RNA, 468 nt
Filed under: uncultured bacterium
Lineage: Bacteria
Description: partial 16S ribosomal RNA
Rfam family: Bacterial small subunit ribosomal RNA
Source: RNAcentral
GACGAACGCUGGCGGCGUGCUUAACACAUGCAAGUCGAACGGAAAGGCCCUGCUUUUGUGGGGUGCUCGAGUGGCGAACGGGUGAGUAACACGUGAGUAACCUGCCCUUGACUUUGGGAUAACUUCAGGAAACUGGGGCUAAUACCGGAUAGGAGCUCCUGCUGCAUGGUGGGGGUUGGAAAGUUUCGGCGGUUGGGGAUGGACUCGCGGCUUAUCAGCUUGUUGGUGGGGUAGUGGCUUACCAAGGCUUUGACGGGUAGCCGGCCUGAGAGGGUGACCGGACUCCUGGGGACUAAGGCAGGCCCCAGGCCCCAAGGGGGGGCAAGGGGGGGAAGUAUUGAAGAGGGGGGGGGGGCGAGAGACGAAGACCCCGGGAGCGGAAAACGGGGUUGGGGGUGAAAAACAAAUUUCGCCGGAGCGAUGGCGGGCGUGACGGUAGGGGAUAAGAAAGCCCCGGCUAACUACGUG